GCCCGAGCAGCGCUCAGUAUUUUGAAAAUAUCCGAAAUUGAGGAGGUUUUGGCUCCGUUCGUCGCUAAAUUUGCCCAAGCUAUGAUCAAACCACUGACUCGUCCCCAAUCGCUCGCGUUGGAUCAUGGGAAUGGGUUAGGUUUCUGAGCGACUGGGAAAUCCUGUAUUCAAGAUGGCGUCCAUACAUAAUGGCGGACGCUAUAUCCAAGGAGCGAAAAUUAGGGCAAAAACUUCUUAAAG
Paramuricea clavata is the source of this 240-nucleotide non-coding RNA. NCBI's taxonomy places the organism in Eukaryota, Metazoa, Cnidaria, Anthozoa, Malacalcyonacea, Plexauridae. The record is from the annotation of a GenBank genome assembly.